GAGAGGGAGAAAUGUUAUCUAUAUUCGUGCAAGAAUUAAUUGUUAUUUUACGACGAAAAAAAAAAAUACUCUCGUAAAAAAAAGAGUUUUAAAUGUAUGCAUAAAAAUUGUGUGCAUAUGUUGGUUAUGCAUUAAAGUUUCAAGAUAGCUAUUAUAAUGAUAAGCGUGAUAUACUCAGCUUCAAAAAUAAAUGUUACGAAAUAGAUAACGAGAUACAAAUAUCAUCACAAAAAGAAAAGAUAACAUUAUUAUCAAAACUAAUAUAUGAUUAGAAUAUAUGUAAGUACAACCAAACUUGAGAACUUCAUAGAAGAAACGAACGUAUUAAUAAAAUAGAGUUUAAUAAGAGAAAUACGACUUAGAAAUGAAGGAGAUAUAAUAAAAGAUAUAGAAAAAACCAAUAUGAUAUAUUAAAAAACAAAUUAGCUAAUAUAAAUUAUGAAACGUGUAUUUAUAUGCAAUACAUCAUGCGUCAAAAAAAAAGAAACUCCAAAGAAAGUAUUGAAUAUAUUGAAACUAUAAUUAAUGAUUGGUAGUUAUCGGAAAAUAAUGAGCAUUUCUUUCUAUCGUAUAUCUUCGCGCAGUGAUGAGUCAUUUCAUCUUUGUUUCUUUCAGGCUUUGUUUUUCUUUCGCUUUGUUUAGUGCGUUAUAUGGAGUCAAGUCGUAGGAGAGUAAACAUUGGUCGUGACCGAGGACUAAGAACAAAUGUUUAUUUAUAUACAAUCGUGCUGUAACCUUCCGAACAUUUAUAUGUGAUCGGAGAUCGUCCUUGGAUAUACCGAUCAGUUUGAAACGAGACAUUGCGGCGUCAGUAUGGAUAAGACACGUUCAGACAAGUUUAUAUAAAUCUGUGCUGUGGUUGUGCCUCUCCAUGAUGGGACCGAAGGACCAGGAAACGAAGAAAAUAUCGGAGAGACGAGUAUCUACUACCAAAAAGAGAAGCUUUUUUCGCCGGGGGUCUAAAAGGUGGAGCCCUCUGACCGGAUUGAAGGGUUGGUUUAUUCUCGCUCACACAGUGCAAGUAUGUGUGGAAGUAUCCAGGGAACUCGAGGUGGAUCGAUCGAAAAGUUUCGUCGAAGGAAGGGCGAAAAGAACCGAAGAUGUGGUAAAGAAUCGUAUUAAGGGCAACGUCACGGUUCCCCGCGAUUAAAUUUUCAAGAAGGGGUCGGAGAAAAAAAGGGCGACGAAGACGAAGCAAAGAAGAAGCAAAAUCGAGAGAGUAACUUGAGGAGAGGAGAAUAGAAAAAGUAAAUUAUCGGUUGACUCGCAUCCUCGCCGAACCUCGACGAAGUCACGCCAUUGGAAGAUGCAAAGAACCUUAGGGAAAAGUACCCGAUGGUAAUUUUGUCCACGACGAGACGUGGAAAAUAAUUGGACCGGUUUGUCGCGGACAUUUUAAGUAAAUUCUUUCUCCAUCUUUUUCUCUCUCUUUUUCUAUCUCUCUCUUUUUCUCUUUGCUCAAGUUCCCCUAUUUCUCUAUCUUCCAAUUUUUCAUACUUUUACGUUUUCUUUUUUCUUCUAUUCUAUGUGAAACACAUAAUCAUACACUUAUAUCAUAUUAUAAUUGAGAAACAUGAAUAAUAACGCUUACGCUGCAUCAUAUUUACAUGUUUAUCAAAAACGUGAGAGAAAGAAGGAAAGAAAGAGAAACACAUUAAAUGAGAGAAACACAUUAUAAUUUCGGUCAAAUGUGAAAAUUAAGUAAUUACUCUUUCCUUUUCUUUUCAGAGAAAGAAACAUUCCUCGCUUUAAUUUCGUUUUGUUUUUUCUUUAUGCAUCCUCAUCUUUUCUUAUGACAUUCUUCUUAUCCUCCUUUCUAUUUUCUUUCUGCUUUAUACUCUGUUUAGAGGAAUUCGAAAAAAAAAAUCUCCCAGAGACUAGCAGGAAGGUAAGCGUAAUGAAAGGGAAAUUCACUCCAUUUGAAAAACCUCAUUACUUCGUCUUCUUGAUUCGCUCAAGAACUUGUUUUCCAACAUCAUCACGUAUAUUUCUCUAUUUAUAAGCCGUUUAAGUCGCAAAGGAAAAAAAUACAUCAUAUAAUACGUUUUAAUCGUGACGGAUUUGACUGUAUAUAGGAGAAGGAUUUUCUUGGAAAAUGUGUCUUUAACGGCGCAUUUCUGUCUCGUAAAUUUAAUCCCACGUAGUAAGACGAGGACAUGCAUGAAACACCUACAAGAAUGUAUACGUACACGGACACACGAGCGCUCAGAGUUAAAUCACGUCUCCGACGUCGCUGAUACAAAGGGAGAGCAUUUAAUGCAGCGCAUCGAAGCGAUGUUCUUUGAUGAAAUUCUAAUCUAUCUCAUUAUCACGAUUAUGAGUGUGCGUAUAAGAGAGAAAGAGAGAGAGAGAGAGAGAGAGAGAGAGAGAAAGAGAGGAAGAGAGAUAGAUCAAUACUUGACUAAAGUCGAGUAAAAAGCCUUUCUCUUUGAGUUAUCAAUGAUCCCCACGUUCUUAAGAUUUAACGAGCAAUUUUUUACUGAUUAUAUUAGAAAGUUUCAACCACUGAAUAUUUUUUCAUCUUCAUAAAUUUUAUUUUUUCUCUUUCAAUCGUGAGUUAAUAUUCAGGCUACUUCUUUUAAAGUAAAAUUCUUUCUAAUAUUUUCAGGAUGAGAAUUCGACUCGACUCGUCGAAUUAUUAUGUUAUCCCCUACCAUCAAACAUUUUUCGCAGAAUUUCAAACGCUCUUAUGUUUGCUUUGCUUCUCAGAAUUCUAUCGAAAUUGAAAUAUCGAGAGUCUAAGUAAAUCGAUUCAGUUAUCUCACGUCCGAUAUUGAACGAUAGUAUUUUUUUGUUUUGAUACGAUUAUAUAAUAACAUGACAAGUCAGUCGGUCAUACUGAUUACGAGAUAUAUUCAGUCGGUUUAUGUAUCACCAAGGACGAAUAUUUUCUCAUUCUCUCUCUUCUCGUCGAAUCCGAUAAAUCCGUGGGAAGUUUUUAUCACCCGUAUCUAUCGGCCUAAUAAACUUUUCUACGGGAUUUCCAACGUGGGAAAUAAAAAGGCCUUGUGAACGACCUUGUGGUGCCAGCCUUCCCGUACUUCCGAGAGGAGUGGUUCAAAAUACACGAAUAAGCACACAGACUUUUAUGUAUUUCUUUUCGAUAUAUUCGAGUAUAAAAUGCUUCGUCGGCAAUAUCCUCGAUCGACGAGUUCGAGCUAUUAACUCGUGUUUCACUUUUUCUCUCUUUUCUAUCCUUUUUUCUACCGCAGAAUUACGGCUUGUUCGAUUCGUUGCAGGGAAAAGAGAGAGAGAG
Molecule: long non-coding RNA, 3256 nt
Organism: Vespula pensylvanica (western yellowjacket)
Lineage: Eukaryota; Metazoa; Arthropoda; Insecta; Hymenoptera; Vespidae
Exons: 3
Source: RefSeq, a predicted model, not a curated record